AAUAAACGCUGGCGGCGUGCCUAACACAUGCAAGUCGAGCGAGAAAGCUCCUUCGGGAGUGAGUACAGCGGCGAACGGGUGAGCAACGCGUGGGAAUCUACCCUUCAGUGAAGAAUACCAUUGAGAAAUCGAGGUUAAUACUGCAUACGACCUGUAAAGGAGAAAGAUGGCCUCUUUGCUGUCGUUGAGGGAUGAGCCUGCGUACUAUUAGCUAGUUGGAGGGGUAACGGCAAACCAAGGCAAUGAUCAGUAGCCGGUCUGAGAGGAUGAACGGCCACAUUGGGACUGAGACACGGCCCAAACUCCUACGGGAGGCAGCAGUGGGGAAUCUUCCGCAAUGGACGAAAGUCUGACGGAGCAACGCCGCGUGAGUGAUGAAGGUCUUCGGAUUGUAAAGCUCUGUUAAUCGGGACGAAAGAGUUCUGCGUGAAUAAUGCAGAAAAGUGACGGUACCGGAAUAGAAAGCCACGGCUAACUACGUGCCAGCAGCCGCGGUAA
RNAcentral lists this ribosomal RNA (498 nucleotides) under uncultured bacterium. RNAcentral describes it as "partial 16S ribosomal RNA". It matches the Rfam family "Bacterial small subunit ribosomal RNA", at positions 29 to 523 of the family's 1533-position model. The record is from RNAcentral.